Molecule: non-coding RNA, 312 nt
Organism: Rattus norvegicus (Norway rat)
Lineage: Eukaryota; Metazoa; Chordata; Mammalia; Rodentia; Muridae
Source: RefSeq, a predicted model, not a curated record
AUCACAGAGCACCUGAGGAGGCUAUGGAAAGGUCUCCUUCUGAGUCCAACCACAGGAUCCGUUAGCCCUUUGAGGGUGACCACUGGGCUUCUAUCCAUGAUGCCUGAAUUUCAAGGAUCAAGAAGAGUAAAGGGAAGGUCCCCAGCGAGGAGUCAGCAGCCGUAUGAACCUAGGCCACCUUUGCUCAUCUCUGCUCAUCAGAGAGCGCUUGAUUGUAUUUACUACAACCCUAUCUUCUCAUUAUCUCCAUAAACUGAAUGCAAGGCACCCCAAAGUUAGUAUUCACAUGAAAAUUAAAUGUCAUUCCAAAUA